AGUCAACGGCACACCAUGCAAAGGACCAGCCACAGAAGAGGCUGAAUGGUAAACCACUUCAUGUGAUGUGCUUUCAUCAACUUCUCGAUAGAUAUGCACAGUGCAAGUCUGGCCGGUAACAUUUGUCACAACAAAUCUCCAUGCACCACCAGCUAGGCCAACUGAGUCCAACCAAAGCUUAACUUCCCACUCACAAACAGCCAAGCGAUGCAUCCGUACACCAACCAAUUCAUGAA
Molecule: unclassified non-coding RNA, 236 nt
Filed under: Hevea brasiliensis (rubber tree)
Lineage: Eukaryota; Viridiplantae; Streptophyta; Magnoliopsida; Malpighiales; Euphorbiaceae
Source: RNAcentral